This 570-nucleotide ribosomal RNA is filed under the name Trichosporon asahii. RNAcentral describes it as "eukaryotic LSU rRNA". The stretch from base 182 to 335 matches the Rfam family "5.8S ribosomal RNA". Lineage: Eukaryota; Fungi; Basidiomycota; Tremellomycetes; Trichosporonales; Trichosporonaceae. The record is from RNAcentral.
UUUGGAAGUAAAAGUCGUAACAAGGUUUCCGUAGGUGAACCUGCGGAAGGAUCAUUAGUGAUUGCCUUUAUAGGCUUAUAACUAUAUCCACUUACACCUGUGAACUGUUCUACUACUUGACGCAAGUCGAGUAUUUUUACAAACAAUGUGUAAUGAACGUCGUUUUAUUAUAACAAAAUAAAACUUUCAACAACGGAUCUCUUGGCUCUCGCAUCGAUGAAGAACGCAGCGAAUUGCGAUAAGUAAUGUGAAUUGCAGAAUUCAGUGAAUCAUCGAAUCUUUGAACGCAGCUUGCGCUCUCUGGUAUUCCGGAGAGCAUGCCUGUUUCAGUGUCAUGAAAUCUCAACCACUAGGGUUUCCUAAUGGAUUGGAUUUGGGCGUCUGCGAUUUCUGAUCGCUCGCCUUAAAAGAGUUAGCAAGUUUGACAUUAAUGUCUGGUGUAAUAAGUUUCACUGGGUCCAUUGUGUUGAAGCGUGCUUCUAAUCGUCCGCAAGGACAAUUACUUUGACUCUGGCCUGAAAUCAGGUAGGACUACCCGCUGAACUUAAGCAUAUCAAAAGCCGGAGGAAA